GAUGAACGCUGGCGGCGUGCCUAAUACAUGCAAGUCGAGCGAACGGACGAGAAGCUUGCUCCUCUGAUGUUAGCGGCGGACGGGUGAGUAACACGUGGAUAACCUACCUAUAAGACUGGGAUAACUUCGGGAAACCGGAGCUAAUACCGGAUGAUAUUUUGAACCGCAUGGUUCAAAAGUGAAAGACGGUUUUGCUGUCACUUAUAGAUGGAUCCGCGCUGCAUUAGCUAGUUGGUAAGGUAACGGCUUACCAAGGCAACGAUGCGUAGCCGACCUGAGAGGGUGAUCGGCCACACUGGAACUGAGACACGGUCCAGACUCCUACGGGAGGCAGCAGUAGGGAAUCUUCCGCAAUGGGCGAAAGCCUGACGGAGCAACGCCGCGUGAGUGAUGAAGGUCUUCGGAUCGUAAAACUCUGUUAUUAGGGAAGAACAUAUGUGUAAGUAACUGUGCACGUCUUGACGGUACCUAAUCAGAAAGCCACGGCUAACUACGUG
RNAcentral lists this ribosomal RNA (497 nucleotides) under uncultured bacterium. RNAcentral's name for it is "partial 16S ribosomal RNA". It matches the Rfam family "Bacterial small subunit ribosomal RNA", at positions 28 to 507 of the family's 1533-position model. The record is from RNAcentral.